UGGGGAAUAUUGCACAAUGGGCGAAAGCCUGAUGCAGCGACGCCGCGUGAGGGAUGACGGCCUUCGGGUUGUAAACCUCUUUCGCUCAUGGUCAAGCCGCAACACAUGGUUGUGGUGAGGGUAGUGGGUAAAGAAGCGCCGGCUAACUACGUGCCAGCAGCCGCGGUAAUACGUAGGGCGCGAGCGUUGUCCGGAAUUAUUGGGCGUAAAGGGCUUGUAGGCGGUUGGUCGCGUCUGCCGUGAAAUCCUCUGGCUUAACUGGGGGCGUGCGGUGGGUACGGGCUGACUUGAGUGCGGUAGGGGAGACUGGAACUCCUGGUGUAGCGGUGGAAUGCGCAGAUAUCAGGAAGAACACCGGUGGCGAAGGCGGGUCUCUGGGCCGUUACUGACGCUGAGGAGCGAAAGCGUGGGGAGCGAACAGGAUUAGAUACCCUGGUAGUCCACGCUGUAAACGUUGGGCACUAGGUGUGGGGGCCACCCGUGGUUUCUGCGCCGUAGCUAACGCUUUAAGUGCCCCGCCUGGGGAGUACGGCCGCAAGGCUA
This 543-nucleotide ribosomal RNA is filed under the name uncultured bacterium. Its description in RNAcentral is "bacterial SSU rRNA". It matches the Rfam family "Bacterial small subunit ribosomal RNA", at positions 355 to 896 of the family's 1533-position model. The record is from RNAcentral.